RNAcentral lists this ribosomal RNA (381 nucleotides) under uncultured Streptococcus sp. RNAcentral's name for it is "bacterial SSU rRNA". It matches the Rfam family "Bacterial small subunit ribosomal RNA", at positions 994 to 1382 of the family's 1533-position model. Lineage: Bacteria; Bacillati; Bacillota; Bacilli; Lactobacillales; Streptococcaceae. The record is from RNAcentral.
AAAGCUAUGGAGUACAUAGUGAGGUUAUCAAGGAGACAGGUGGUGCAUGGUUGUCGUCAGCUCGUGUCGUGAGAUGUUGGGUUAAGUCCCGCAACGAGCGCAACCCCUAUUGUUAGUUGCCAUCAUUCAGUUGGGCACUCUAGCGAGACUGCCGGUAAUAAACCGGAGGAAGUGGGAUGACGUCAAAUCAUCAUGCCCCUUAUGACCUGGGCUACACACGUGCUACAAUGGUUGGUACAACGAGUUGCGAGUCGGUGACGGCGAGCUAAUCUCUUAAAGCCAAUCUCAGUUCGGAUUGUAGGCUGCAACUCGCCUACAUGAAGUCGGAAUCGCUAGUAAUCGCGGACUCAGCACGCCGCGGUGAAUACGUUCCCGGGCCUU